CACAACUGAAUCAAAAAGCCGCAGACCGCAGGUGCAUUUGCUUAAAUAUCCUGCCGAGGUUUUACACCCUAAAGCAACGAAAAGUUGAAGCUAUAUAGCCUUUUCAGUUGUUGCUGUAAGACCCCGCCUGCCCUGGUUGGGGUUUUUAUUUUCCCGG
Non-coding RNA from Cyanothece sp. PCC 7425, 157 nucleotides. The record is from Rfam. Lineage: Bacteria; Bacillati; Cyanobacteriota; Cyanophyceae; Gomontiellales; Cyanothecaceae.